GGGGCCGUGGUCUAGCGGCAUGACGCCGCCCUCACACGGCGGAGGUCGCCGGUUCGAGUCCGGCCGGCCCCA
Molecule: transfer RNA, 72 nt
Filed under: Nitrososphaerota archaeon
Lineage: Archaea; Thermoproteati; Nitrososphaerota
Also listed under: 1 other name
Description: tRNA-Val
Rfam family: tRNA
About the family: Transfer RNA (tRNA) molecules are approximately 80 nucleotides in length. Their secondary structure includes four short double-helical elements and three loops (D, anti-codon, and T loops).
Source: RNAcentral